RNAcentral lists this signal recognition particle RNA (194 nucleotides) under Eubacterium nodatum ATCC 33099. RNAcentral's name for it is "Bacterial large signal recognition particle RNA". The stretch from base 63 to 162 matches the Rfam family "Bacterial small signal recognition particle RNA". Rfam says of the family: The signal recognition particle (SRP) is a universally conserved ribonucleoprotein involved in the co-translational targeting of proteins to membranes. Archaeal SRP consists of a 7S RNA and homologues of the eukaryotic SRP19 and SRP54 proteins. The record is from Rfam by way of RNAcentral. Lineage: Bacteria; Bacillati; Bacillota; Clostridia; Peptostreptococcales; Anaerovoracaceae.
CCGUAAAAAACAAUAUAAUAAAACUCAGUUUAAUACGCCUUUUAAUAGCUUCGCCUGAUGUGGUCUGGGUCCUGCGCAAUGGGAUGCCGUGAACCUUGUCAGGUCCGGAAGGAAGCAGCAAUAAGCGGAAGUUCUUAUGUGCCGCAGAUAAGCCUUCUCCAUUGUCUUGCGGAGCUAUUAAAAGGCGUUUGCUU